This 76-nucleotide transfer RNA is filed under the name Haloferax volcanii. Its description in RNAcentral is "tRNA-Pro". Lineage: Archaea; Methanobacteriati; Methanobacteriota; Halobacteria; Halobacteriales; Haloferacaceae. The record is from RNAcentral.
GGGCCGGUGGGGUAUCUUGGUAUCCUUCGGCCUUCGGGUGGCCGUAACCUCAGUUCGAAUCUGAGCCGGCCCACCA